Ipomoea triloba (trilobed morning glory) is the source of this 677-nucleotide long non-coding RNA. RefSeq lists it as uncharacterized. The record is from RefSeq and is a predicted model, not a curated record. The transcript has 2 exons. NCBI's taxonomy places the organism in Eukaryota, Viridiplantae, Streptophyta, Magnoliopsida, Solanales, Convolvulaceae.
CUUUGGCUAAAACUUCCCCAGAUGGUGUGGUGAACCACUUUUAUGUUGGGUGUAGUUUGUGCGUCCAGCAUUUCCGCCCCUGUCUCGAGCUUCAGGACGAAACACUCUUCUCCCCACACGCUCUUUUCUCCGAUACAGGGAAAAAGAUACAUACAAAGGAACAGUCUCUGACAGGCAUGGAGAGAUUGUUGUGGUCGGAUUGAACAUUGAAAGGGAUGAGCGCGGAGCCAACGAUCUUAAGCAGGAAAAGAACAUGUUCGUUGCAGGAUAGAGGCGGCAAAGAAGAAUUGUCAGGUUGAGGUUGAGCUGCCCUCAUGCAAUUCCGGAGGUUGCGCCACCCGUGGGUGGUGGUGGCGCCGCUGCUGCCGCUGCCACGGCCUAUCUCGUCAAACAUUUCCUCCGGUACCGGAACCUCAAGCACUGUUUCCAGGCCAUCUUCGUUGUCCAAAUUUCGACGCAGUUUUCUCAUAGGAUGAAUCAUCAAUCAUGAAGAGAGGGGGUAUUGGGUUGCAAGGAUGGGAGGAAGAAUCAAGAAUAUGGUUGAAUUGGGGAGAAAUGAAAUUGUAGGAAGAUGUAUGCAUGGUGGCUAAGGCCUAAGGUGUUCCUUGUUUAUAGGGAUAAACUAAUAUUGUUUCUUUUUUUAAAAUAAAUAAAUAAAUAAAAAGGUUUAAGGGAAA